This 2122-nucleotide long non-coding RNA is filed under the name Homo sapiens (human). RNAcentral describes it as "HSALNT0364109". The record is from RNAcentral. Lineage: Eukaryota; Metazoa; Chordata; Mammalia; Primates; Hominidae.
UUCUUUACAAACUGGGGUGUUUACCUUCCCACUCAAGUAUAUUUGGCAGGGAUGUGAUAUUUGUUAACUCAUUGCUACUGUUACAGACUUUGAUUUAGUUACAUAGAAAAUCAUACUUUAGUUUUCAGUGUUGUUAAAAAAAAUGUCCUUUCCUCCCCCUCAUCACUGGAGAUAUUCACGAAUAUUUUAGUGGAUGAGAGAAACACGCAAUGUUAAAUGUUAUCUUGACCUUUAAUUCCUGGAAAUGCUUUAUGACGUCAUUAUUUCCUUUUAUUGCCACCUACUGGUAAUUCCUGGUCUCUGUUUUGCUCUAAACAUUUGCCAUUAUGAUAACUUUUCUCUACCUAUCCCUUUCCUGUUAAUUUAUUUCCAAAUUUAAUCUCCAUUCAAAUAUGAUGUUUUAUGAAAUAUAAUGUCCUUUUGUCACAUUGUGCACUAAGAGUAUUACUUUUCUAUUUUGUGUGGGGAAGGCUGUAAUAUCUGUUCAGCUCUAUCAAGAACAAAUGUACAGAGCGUCCCACCUAUUGAGACACUGCCUUAUUUCAGCAUUGGCAGCACAAAUGAUAACGGAGACACAAUCUGCAGCGUAACAGUUGAUUCCAUGUACCAUAAAGAAAAGCUAAGUAUACCUUACAAGAGGUAUUAAGCAUGUGCGUGCGAGUGUGUGUGUGUGUGUGUGUACAUUUUCUUAAAAGUCUUGAAUUGAUCUUGAAUUCUAGGAUCUUGAAUAUGGGGAACAAUUUAGCUUACCUCCUAGUGUGGUUCUCAUUUGUGAGUUUUGUGUCGUUUAACAAUAAUAAUUAAUAUCAAGGAUCUACGAACUAUGCAUUGUGUGUAUGUUUGUGUACAUGUGAUUUUUCAGGAAGAAUAAUGGUCGGGAACUGAGAUAGAAAUGGAGAGACUAUCAAUUAUGAUUGACAGAGCAUCAUGACUGAUUAUCAGAAAUGAGAAAAUAUAAAAGUCACAGUUAGCUUCAGUAUAGAAGAGGGAGAAUUGCUGUGUUCCUGUGACCCUGGGGAAAAAGGAAUUCCUAGAUUCACCUUCAGGACAAAGAUUGACCCGGUAGAAAAUAAAACUGAGGAAAGAAGAAGAUACGCACAACAGAGGGGAAGACAUUGGCUGAGCCUCACAAACAUUGCAGAUAUCCCUAUGUGACUCAGAAUCAACACAAGAUCCUGCCUUUAAACACUGAUGCCGAAAAUCAAGAACAUCCUUUAAACUGAAACCAUCAGAACAAACAUGUUUAAACAACACAAAUGUUAUUAUUAAUGUAAAGCAUUUCUAAAAUGCUUUUUUAAAUGUGAAAAAGCAACGAAAGUUUUAGUUCUGACACCACCAGACAAAUAGCUAGGAAACAGACACUUCUGUCUUCACAACAGUAAAAAUAAAACAAACUGAAAAUCAGUAAGUUUUGCGGGCCUAUCAGAAAACUAAGAUUGCAGGAAGAGCUGUCACACCCAAAUAUGAAGAAAUAGAAGACUUCAGAGAGACAAAACCAAGUUCUGCUUAUCAGAAGUAGAAGACACUGGAGACAUAUAAACUCAUAAGAACACUUAGAACACUUACAUGGCAAUGUUAACAAAUUGCUGUAAUCUGAGUAUGGACUAUCUUGAGAGUGAUAAUCCCUUAAGAGCUUCAGUAUUAGAGGGGCCUGCCACAUUCACGGCCUUUAUCUACAGUUAUCUCACCAGAUACUCACAGUGAAGAUGCCCUUGUAGCUCUGGCUGGGGCGGAGGAAGAGCAAUCCUUGUGAAUUACCUCCAGAGUAUGCUCUGUAAAACAGGUUUAUUUUUCCAGGAGAAAAGACACUAACAGCGUCUUCUAAUGUCCAUGAGGUGAUGAAUGAUGACCCUUAUUUCAUUUCUCUUUUAUUCUUGGUUAGCCUGGUUAGAUGUUUAUAAAAUUUCUUAAAUUUUUCAAAGAUGUGGCUUUUGGUUUGUUAAUCUUCUGUAUUAUUUUUUAUUUUCAAAUUUAUUGAUACCUACUUCUAUUUUUACCGUUUUUUUCAUCUGCUUCCUUUAAGCUUAAAUUGUUCUCUUUUUCCUGUAGUUUAUUAUGGUGGAACAUUAUAUUAAUGAUUUUAGAAUCUUUCUUCUUCUCUAAGAUAUGCAUCUAAAGUUAU